AUGGGCGUCUGGUCCCGUCACAAGAAAAAUAAUAUUCCCAACGUUCUACUAGAAAGGUUGCAUCUGGAGGAUGACGAACUUGAUAAUAUGAUCUGGGAGGAGAAAGUCGACGACUCAGAGAAGAAGCCGAAGUGGUUAGCCCUUGCAAGGCUAUUGACUACAAAAACAUUUAGUCAAGGAGCACUAAUUGCGGAUAUAAGAGCCACAUGGCACUCAAUGAGGGAUGUGGUGUGGAGAAGGAUAAGUGCCGACCUCUUCUUGGUGCAAUUCAAUUGCUUAGCUGAUUGGAAUAAGGCUAUCGACCAAGGCCCUUGGGAUUUCCAAGGUACGGCUCUAAUAAUUGCUAAAUAUGACGGUAUUACUAAUUUGAAAAGUGCUAAAUUGGACAAGAUCGAAACCUGGUGUCGAAUACAUAGGCUGUCAGAUGGAGUUUUGAAGAAGAAAUGGUCUGUAGAGAACAUGGCUAAGCGCACUGGACAAGUGCAGGGGCUGCAAAUUACCCUACCUAGCAGGUUCAUUUUUGAGUUCAUCCGAGUUAGGGUUAAGCUUCAUGUGAGUGAGAAACUGGGCAGAUUUAUCAGCUUCACCAAGGCCAUGAAUACUGAGUUUUAUCAAACUAAAUUUGAAAAGCUACCCACGUCUGUUAUUGUUGCGGUAAGUUUGGACGUUGGCAUGUGGAGUGUGGCAUCGCAGAGCUCAAUGAAGACGAUAUGGAGUGGGGUUCAUUCAUUUAGCAACCAAGAGAGGGCGUGA
RNAcentral lists this ribosomal RNA (753 nucleotides) under Triticum aestivum (bread wheat). Its description in RNAcentral is "partial small subunit ribosomal RNA". Lineage: Eukaryota; Viridiplantae; Streptophyta; Magnoliopsida; Poales; Poaceae. The record is from RNAcentral.